GCCAGGCCAGGCGCGAGCUCCUCCCGUGCGGGUCCGUCACAGCAUCUCCCGGGAGACGUAGUCGACACGGGCCGGGAUCACACCCCUCCGCCCGGCUGAAGCCGCUCCUCUGCGCUUCGGCCGCCGCCUGAGACCUCCCCGGCCACCUCAGAGCCACACGCCCCCGAGAGUGCCUUCGCGGGCUGUAGGCCUGCAGACCGCUCAGCGGCUAAAACGGAGUCGCUGCUCCCGCCGCGGUGCUGGCUCCUUCCCCUUGCAACGCUGCCUGCUCGCCACGGACAGCGCCGGCCCGGCUCUGCGUAUUACCCUGCGCCGACAAAACCGAGUUCCACACGCCCCGGAAGGGAGGGAGCGGAGGAAAAGGGCGAAGAGGGAGGGGAGAAUCGGGAGAGAUCGCGGCUGCAGGGACCAGAGUUCUCGCGAUGGUUCCGCGCUCGAGCGCCGGUUCCGCGGGAAUUUUCAAACUCUCGAUCUGAAACAGUAUCUCCAACUUCGUGUCAGCCUUCAACUCCCCCGAGACCAUCAGGCGCCCACAGGCCAAAACAUCCAGAGUGGGCCAUGUGCUAUUCUAGACCAGACUCCUAACACAAAUGCAACAGGUUCCCAACAGUGA
RNAcentral lists this long non-coding RNA (613 nucleotides) under Pongo abelii (Sumatran orangutan). RNAcentral describes it as "lncRNA (ENSPPYG00000033713.1)". Lineage: Eukaryota; Metazoa; Chordata; Mammalia; Primates; Hominidae. The record is from RNAcentral.